RNAcentral lists this transfer RNA (65 nucleotides) under Cavia porcellus (domestic guinea pig). It matches the Rfam family "tRNA". Rfam says of the family: Transfer RNA (tRNA) molecules are approximately 80 nucleotides in length. The record is from Rfam by way of RNAcentral. Lineage: Eukaryota; Metazoa; Chordata; Mammalia; Rodentia; Caviidae.
GGGGAUUUAGCUUAAUGGUUUAAGCACCUGCCUGGUAAGCAUGAGGUUCAAGAGUUGGAUUCCUG